This 30-nucleotide small RNA is filed under the name Arabidopsis thaliana (thale cress). RNAcentral's name for it is "ATSL083720". Lineage: Eukaryota; Viridiplantae; Streptophyta; Magnoliopsida; Brassicales; Brassicaceae. The record is from RNAcentral.
CAUGGAGGACACAACGGAGGAGGGGGCCAC